This 396-nucleotide ribosomal RNA is filed under the name uncultured bacterium. Its description in RNAcentral is "partial 16S ribosomal RNA". It matches the Rfam family "Bacterial small subunit ribosomal RNA", at positions 523 to 918 of the family's 1533-position model. The record is from RNAcentral.
AUACGUAGGGAGCGAGCGUUGUCCGGAAUUACUGGGUGUAAAGGGAGCGUAGGCGGGAGUGCAAGUCAGAUGUGAAAUACAUGGGCUCAACCCAUGGGCUGCAUUUGAAACUGCAUUUCUUGAGUGAAGUAGAGGUAAGCGGAAUUCCUGGUGUAGCGGUGAAAUGCGUAGAUAUCAGGAGGAACACCGGUGGCGAAGGCGGCUUACUGGGCCUUUACUGACGCUGAGGCUCGAAAGCGUGGGGAGCAAACAGGAUUAGAUACCCUGGUAGUCCACGCUGUAAACGAUGAUUACUAUGUGUGGGGGGACUGACCCCUUCCGUGCCGCAGUUAACACAAUAAGUAAUCCACCUGGGGAGUACGGCCGCAAGGUUGAAACUCAAAUGAAUUGACGGGU